RNAcentral lists this ribosomal RNA (210 nucleotides) under uncultured bacterium. Its description in RNAcentral is "partial 16S ribosomal RNA". It matches the Rfam family "Bacterial small subunit ribosomal RNA", at positions 146 to 354 of the family's 1533-position model. The record is from RNAcentral.
ACCCGGAGAAAUCCGGCCUAAUACCGCGUAACACCUUUUGGGAGCAUUCCCGGGAGGUUAAAGGAGAGAUCCGGCAUAGGAUGGACAUGCGUCGCAUUAGGUAGACGGCGGGGUAACGGCCCACCGUGCCGACGAUGCGUAGGGGUUCUGAGAGGAAGGCCCCCCACACUGGUACUGAGACACGGACCAGACUCCUACGGGAGGCAGCAG